CGGAUUAAGAGCUUGCUCUUAUGAAGUUAGCGGCGGACGGGUGAGUAACACGUGGGUAACCUGCCCAUAAGACUGGGAUAACUCCGGGAAACCGGGGCUAAUACCGGAUAACAUUUUGAACCGCAUGGUUCGAAAUUGAAAGGCGGCUUCGGCUGUCACUUAUGGAUGGACCCGCGUCGCAUUAGCUAGUUGGUGAGGUAACGGCUCACCAAGGCAACGAUGCGUAGCCGACCUGAGAGGGUGAUCGGCCACACUGGGACUGAGACACGGCCCAGACUCCUACGGGAGGCAGCAGUAGGGAAUCUUCCGCAAUGGACGAAAGUCUGACGGAGCANCGCCGCGUGAGUGAUGAAGGCUUUCGGGUCGUAAAACUCUGUUGUUAGGGAAGAACAAGUGCUAGUUGAAUAAGCUGGCANCUUGACGGUACCUAACCAGAAAGCCACGGCUAACUACGUGCCAGCAGCCGCGGUAAUACGUAUGUGGCAAGCGUUAUCCGGAAUUAUUGGGCGUAAAGCGCGCGCAGGUGGCUUCUUAAGUCUGAUGUGAAAGCCCACGGCUCACCGUGGAGGGUCU
Molecule: ribosomal RNA, 573 nt
Filed under: Bacillus sp. W035
Lineage: Bacteria; Bacillati; Bacillota; Bacilli; Caryophanales; Bacillaceae
Description: SSU rRNA
Rfam family: Bacterial small subunit ribosomal RNA
Source: RNAcentral